CUGUGAAAAGAGAGUCCUGCCAAGGGCUACGAGGCAGAAAACUGAUAUUAUUAAAGUGGUCUUCUGAACGCAACUGUCUGCAAGGUCCUAAGAGUUCUAAGUUGAAUAAGGCCCACUCCCUCCCUUCCAGGACUUUAGCUGAGGUUGGUUGGGGCAGAAGUCGGGCAAGACUCAUUGGAACGGAUUAACAGAGACAGAAUCCAGAAGCAAUGGGAUGAAUUCCAAGUAUAGAAAAGACACACUUGGUCUGAGGGUAUGUUUCAGCUCAGGCAUGCUGCCAGCAGGACCACGUAAAGCUAGAUUUUUCUACGCUAGUCCGUUUGCACGAUCUGGACUCAGAAGAGAUUUAAGUUUCAAAUCUGGCUUUGUCAGUUAAUGCUUGUGGGAUCUCAACCAUAUCACUGACCUCUCUGAACAUGCUUCCAUAUUUCUACAAAGGAAACAAUAGGUGACUCUGCUGAGUUGAGCACUUGCGAGUACCAAGCAGUGAGGACCUGAGGCACAGACGCUAACCAGCUUGCUGGAGAUCACACACUCAUGAGUGGCAGAGUGGGGCUUGGAACCGGGCAGCCUGGCUCUGGAGCCCUCACUCCAUCCACACACCAUGCUGGGACCCAGUCGAGUGACCAGCAGACCGGUUGUGUGGGUUAGGUGGAAUGGUAGAUAUAAACCACACAGCCCAGCUCCUGACCCGUGCUGGGCCCUCAUUCCUCCUGAAUUCCUUCUCAUUCCUGCCGCCUUCUGAAGAAGGUGCCUUGCUUCCCCUUCGCCUUCUGCCGUGAUUGUAACUUUCCUGAGGCCUCCCCAGCCAUGCUGAACUCAUGAGGCAGGAAAGGAUAGAAGCCUUUCAGAGCCUGAGCCAAGUUCCUCCUCACAGAAGCACAGAGGACACUUACUCCAUCUCUGAAAAAGCUGCCCACACCCCACCUCCAUCCAGCCUUCCAAAAGCCACCACGAAUGACCCAUAGGAAGGGCAGAGUGUGCCACUUGCUAGGGACCAGAACCUCUGGGGAGCGGGGAUCAUCUCUGUGUCUCUCUGCUUCAACUGCAUUUAAAAUGAACAUUCUUAAUGAUAAACCUUUCCGUGUGUAAAGAAGGGCGUGGAAAAAUGUAUGUACUGGAGACUCGGGUAGUGACUUUCUAAGUGUGGAAAAGUUUCCCCCAAAGUGUUUCCAAAUAUAGAAAAGUCAUAUAAUAAAUGAUGAGGGCUCAUAAACCUUUCUGGCAGCAGUUGCAGGGGUCAGAACAAGGAAGAAGGAAUUCCCAGCUCCUAGGGCCCCGCAUCCCACACUGUCUUCUGGGCUACUGUGCAACCAAUGGUUCCGUAUCUGUACGUACCCAGGGGCUCCUUAGAUAAAUAAUUGAAGUGAAAUAUCAAA
Molecule: long non-coding RNA, 1379 nt
Organism: Gorilla gorilla gorilla (western lowland gorilla)
Lineage: Eukaryota; Metazoa; Chordata; Mammalia; Primates; Hominidae
Exons: 7
Source: RefSeq, a predicted model, not a curated record